Molecule: transfer RNA, 94 nt
Filed under: Streptomyces lavendulae subsp. lavendulae
Lineage: Bacteria; Bacillati; Actinomycetota; Actinomycetes; Kitasatosporales; Streptomycetaceae
Description: tRNA-Arg
Source: RNAcentral
CGGUCCGCGGGGCCCCGGUCCGCGGCGCCGGGUCCGUUUCGGCCGGUCUGCGGGGCCCGGAUCCGCGGCGCCGGGUCUGUUUCGGCCGGUCUGC